CUUGGUCAUUUAGAGGAAGUAAAAGUCGUAACAAGGUCUCCGUAGGUGAACCUGCGGAGGGAUCAUUACAAGUGACCCCGGUCUAACCACCGGGAUGUUCAUAACCCUUUGUUGUCCGACUCUGUUGCCUCCGGGGCGACCCUGCCUUCGGGCGGGGGCUCCGGGUGGACACUUCAAACUCUUGCGUAACUUUGCAGUCUGAGUAAACUUAAUUAAUAAAUUAAAACUUUUAACAACGGAUCUCUUGGUUCUGGCAUCGAUGAAGAACGCAGCGAAAUGCGAUAAGUAAUGUGAAUUGCAGAAUUCAGUGAAUCAUCGAAUCUUUGAACGCACAUUGCGCCCCCUGGUAUUCCGGGGGGCAUGCCUGUUCGAGCGUCAUUUCACCACUCAAGCCUCGCUUGGUAUUGGGCAACGCGGUCCGCCGCGUGCCUCAAAUCGACCGGCUGGGUCUUCUGUCCCCUAAGCGUUGUGGAAACUAUUCGCUAAAGGGUGUUCGGGAGGCUACGCCGUAAAACAACCCCAUUUCUAAGGUUGACCUCGGAUCAGGUAGGGAUACCCGCUGAACUUAAGCAUAUCAAUAAGCGGAGGAAAAGAAACCAACAGGGAUUGCUCUAGUAACGGCGAGUGAAGCAGCAAUAGCUCAAAUUUGAAAUCUGGCGUCUUCGACGUCCGAGUUGUAAUUUGUAGAGGAUGCUUCUGAGUAACCACCGACCUAAGUUCCUUGGAACAGGACGUCAUAGAGGGUGAGAAUCCCGUAUGCGGUCGGAAAGGUGCUCUAUACGUAGCUCCUUCGACGAGUCGAGUUGUUUGGGAAU
This 815-nucleotide small RNA is filed under the name uncultured Davidiella. RNAcentral's name for it is "eukaryotic LSU rRNA". The stretch from base 533 to 815 matches the Rfam family "Eukaryotic large subunit ribosomal RNA", at positions 1 to 281 of the family's 3401-position model. The record is from RNAcentral. Lineage: Eukaryota; Fungi; Ascomycota; Dothideomycetes; Cladosporiales; Cladosporiaceae.